GGGCGUAUGGUCUAGAGGUAUGAUACCUGCUUUGGGCAAACAUGACCGAAUGCAGGGGGUCUUCGGUUCGAAUCCGGAUUCGCCCC
This 86-nucleotide transfer RNA is filed under the name Lentinula raphanica. RNAcentral describes it as "tRNA-Pro". It matches the Rfam family "tRNA". Rfam says of the family: Transfer RNA (tRNA) molecules are approximately 80 nucleotides in length. Lineage: Eukaryota; Fungi; Basidiomycota; Agaricomycetes; Agaricales; Omphalotaceae. The record is from RNAcentral.